CCAGACCUGCAUUCGAUACGGGCGAGCUUGAGUAUGGUAGGGGAGUCUGGAAUUCCUGGUGUAGCGGUGGAAUGCGCAGAUAUCAGGAGGAACACCAAUGGCGAAGGCAGGACUCUGGGCCAUUACUGACACUGAGGAGCGAAAGCGUGGGGAGCGAACAGGAUUAGAUACCCUGGUAGUCCACGCCGUAAACGGUGGGCACUAGUUGUGGGGACCUUCCACGGUCUCUGCGACGCAGCUAACGCAUUAAGUGCCCCGCCUGGGGAGUACGAUCGCAAGAUUAAAACUCAAAGGAAUUGACGGGGCCCCGCACAAGCAGCGGAGCAUGCGGCUUAAUUCGACGCAACGCGAAGAACCUUACCAAGGCUUGACAUAUACAGGAAUAUGGCAGAGAUGUCAUAGCCGCAAGGUCUGUAUACAGGUGGUGCAUGGUUGUCGUCAGCUCGUGUCGUGAGAUGUUGGGUUAAGUCCCGCAACGAGCGCAACCCUCGUUCUGUGUUGCCAGCAUUAAGUUGGGGACUCACAGGAGACUGCCGGGGUUAACUCGGGAGGAAGGUGGGGAUGACGUUAAAUCAUCAUGC
RNAcentral lists this ribosomal RNA (581 nucleotides) under uncultured bacterium. RNAcentral's name for it is "bacterial SSU rRNA". It matches the Rfam family "Bacterial small subunit ribosomal RNA", at positions 615 to 1198 of the family's 1533-position model. The record is from RNAcentral.